AUGACAUCAAGCAGCGGGGAGGAGCCUCGUACCUCAUCCAUUGUGGCGGAUGCUAAUCCAAUGGUGAGCAUGGAAGCCAAGAUGCUUGUGGCGACAGGCCAUGAUCAUUGCCAGGAGUUGAAGGAUAUGAUCAGCAAGGCGGAUCCUUCGACCAUGGUAGUGGUGAUGGCCUCCAGCAACCAGACUUCCGCACCGAAGCCUCGCUCGCCGGUCAUGGAUCCCUGGCUGCUAGCAGCGGCCUACUCUGGCUCGUGGCAGAAACUGCAAUCAUUCCUAUGCAGCCAGCUUCUGGAGACGUAG
This 300-nucleotide ribosomal RNA is filed under the name Triticum aestivum (bread wheat). RNAcentral's name for it is "partial small subunit ribosomal RNA". The record is from RNAcentral. Lineage: Eukaryota; Viridiplantae; Streptophyta; Magnoliopsida; Poales; Poaceae.